This 535-nucleotide transfer RNA is filed under the name uncultured cyanobacterium. RNAcentral's name for it is "partial miscellaneous RNA". The stretch from base 211 to 283 matches the Rfam family "tRNA". Lineage: Bacteria; Bacillati; Cyanobacteriota. The record is from RNAcentral.
CAGGGAGACAACAAAAUGUUAAAUAUUAAUUUUGUCACCUUAGGUCGAUCGGUUUCUCACAUUCUUAAUUAAUUUAAGAAUUUUAUUUCCUAAGUUUUUCUAGGUCACACCCAUCAUUUUUCCUGGGCCAUUAGCUCAGGUGGUUAGAGCGCACCCCUGAUAAGGGUGAGGUCCCUGGUUCAAGUCCAGGAUGGCCCAUAUCUCUAUGUUGGGGGUAUAGCUCAGUUGGUAGAGCGCCUGCUUUGCAAGCAGGAUGUCAGCGGUUCGAGUCCGCUUACCUCCACUGAUUACCACCUCUUCCAUAUUUAGAAGGGAAAUUUUGAGUUGUGAUCUAAUUCUGAACGAAUCUAGCUUCCUAAUUAAACUUAUUAAGAUGCUGGACUCAUUGAAUUAAUUUCAUUGUUUUCAGAGAACCUUGACAACUGCAUAGAUUAUUUUUAAAGACAAUAAGCAUCUUUAAUGAUGCAGAUUUAUUAUUUGUGCGAAUGCAUUAAUAACAAUUCUAUUAAGCUGAUGCUUCAUUUUUGAAGUUAUU